GUUAUCUUGGCAGAAUAGUGCGUUAGAUUUAGAAUCUUUUUAUGUAAUUUUUACAGAUAAUA
RNAcentral lists this transfer RNA (62 nucleotides) under Anthaxia chinensis. RNAcentral's name for it is "tRNA-Leu". Lineage: Eukaryota; Metazoa; Arthropoda; Insecta; Coleoptera; Buprestidae. The record is from RNAcentral.